UGAUGGCGAGUGGCGAACGGGUGAGUAAUGCAUCGGAACGUGCCCAAUCGUGGGGGAUAACGCAGCGAAAGCUGUGCUAAUACCGCAUACGAUCUACGGAUGAAAGCGGGGGACCUUCGGGCCUCGCGCGAUUGGAGCGGCCGAUGUUAGAUUAGGUAGUUGGUGGGGUAAAGGCUCACCAAGCCGACGAUCUAUAGCUGGUCUGAGAGGACGACCAGCCACACUGGAACUGAGACACGGUCCAGACUCCUACGGGAGGCAGCAGUGGGGAAUUUUGGACAAUGGGCGCAAGCCUGAUCCAGCAAUACCGCGUGCAGGAAGAAGGCCUUCGGGUUGUAAACUGCUUUUGUACGGAACGAAAAGGCUCUUUUUAAUAAAGAGGGCUCAUGACGGUACCGUAAGAAUAAGCACCGGCUAACUACGUGCCAGCAGCCGCGGUAAUACGUAGGGUGCGAGCGUUAAUCGGAAUUACUGGGCGUAAAGCGUGCGCAGGCGGUUUUGUAAGACAGACGUGAAAUCCCCGGGCUCAACCUGGGAAUUGCGUUUGUGACUGCAAGGCUAGAGUACGGUAGAGGGGGGUAGAAUUCCGCGUGUAGCAGUGAAAUGCGUAGAUAUGCGGAGGAACACCGAUGGCGAAGGCAGCCCCCUGGACCUGUACUGACGCUCAUGCACGAAAGCGUGGGGAGCAAACAGGAUUAGAUACCCUGGUAGUCCACGCCCUAAACGAUGUCAACUGGUUGUUGGGAAUUUACUUUCUCAGUAACGAAGCUAACGC
Molecule: ribosomal RNA, 775 nt
Filed under: uncultured bacterium
Lineage: Bacteria
Description: bacterial SSU rRNA
Rfam family: Bacterial small subunit ribosomal RNA
Source: RNAcentral